ACAGGUCUUGUUGAGGGGAGUGAAGUCACUCAGACACCCACCAUACUCUGGAAACUGAAAGACAGUGAUGCUCUGAUGAACUGCAGUCACACUAAGGGAUCUAGCUACACCAGAUGUACUGGUACAGACAGCUUCCAGGAGAGGGAAUGAAGCAGGUAGUUUACACAAGUAGUUAUAGCGAUCCAGAAUAUGGAGACUUCAGUAAAGACAAAUAUCCAACUGUUAAGGCUAUAGCUGAGAGUGGAUCUUUCACAGUGAAGAAGUUGGAGACAGGAGACAGUGGAAUGUACUUCUGUGCUGUGAGUGAACACAGUGAUACAGACAACAAGUACAGCUGCACAAAAACCCCAGUAUUUCAAUAGGAUGUAAUAUAAUAUGUAAAUAGAUGGUCUCAUCACAUACUGUAGGGGACCUCUAACUCUAGUUCUUCUAAUGUCUGAUGGUUUCAUUGUCAUGAUCAUGUAAUCAGUCAUGUUCACAGUGAGGUCCUAUGAGCAAGCUUUACAGUACAGGCUUCCUGACACUCCUUCUAACACUGUCACUAUCCACCACCCUGAAGGAAACAUGCUACUACAACAGCCAAUCUCCUUUCACCUCAGAGCUUCACCCAGGAGACACUCAUAUCACAUCCUCAUCAUCAUCGUCUUCCUCAGCAUAUUCAUCAUCUUCAUCAUCAUCAUAAUAUUUUUCUUCAUCAUGAUGUUCAGAGUUCUGAUUCACCUGGCAGCUCUACCACUCUGGGUGACAGGGCAGGUGUUUAGUAGCAUGGUUCAUCAGAGGCCUGUGGCACUAACAGAAGGUCCUGGAGGAGACGUUCAACUCACCUGCAGCCAUACGAUCUCUAACUACUACGUGAUACUAUGGUACAAACAGUCAGCAGGAGACACUGCUAUGAAACUCAUUGGUUAUGCAUAUACCAAGUUAAUAACCAUGGAGAAAUCAUUUGAAAAGCACUUCAAUGUGAGUGGAGAUGGUGGGAAAGAGGCUUAUCUUCAUCUAUUGAGUCUGAGAGGACCUGAACACUGUGCAGUUUAUUACUGUGCAGCCAGCCAACACAGUGAUGUAGACUUCCUCCUGUUCUCUACUAAAACCCUGUCUGAUGGUAAUAUUAGACCACGGCUCAGAACACCUGCAUCUGAGGUUUGACUUUGACUCAAUGCCAAUGAAUAAACACAGAUGGAUGAUGGCAUAAGGUGAUAUCUGUCCUAGUACAGUAUACCAGUAUUUACAGUUUACUGUCACCACUCAUUAACAUACAUUAUGCAAUGUUACAAUGUCAUAUUCCAUUACUCCAUUUCUAUCUCUCCCCUCUCUCUCUCUCUCUCUCUCUCUCUCUCUCUCUCUCUCUCUCUCUCUCUCUAUCUCUCCCCUCUCUCUCUCUCUAUCUCUCCCCUCUCUCUCUAUCUCUCCCCUCUCGCUCAAUUCAAUUCAAU
This is a long non-coding RNA of Oncorhynchus kisutch (coho salmon), 1433 nucleotides long. The record is from Ensembl. Lineage: Eukaryota; Metazoa; Chordata; Actinopteri; Salmoniformes; Salmonidae.